AACGAACGCUGGCGGCGUGCCUAACACAUGCAAGUCGUGCGAGAAAGUUCCUUCGGGGGCGAGUAAAGCGGCGCACGGGUGAGUAACACGUAGGUAACCUGCCCCCCAGUCUGGAACAACUAGAGGAAACUCUAGCUAAUGCCGGAUGAGACCACGAUCCCUUCGGGGUUGCGGCCAAAGAUGGCCUCUACUUGUAAGCUAUCGCUGAGGGAUGGGCCUGCGGGCCAUUAGCUUGUUGGUGAGGUAACGGCUCACCAAGGCUGUGAUGGCUAGCUGGUCUGAGAGGAUGACCAGCCACACUGGGACUGAGACACGGCCCAGACUCCUACGGGAGGCAGCAGUGGGGAAUAUUGCGCAAUGGGCGAAAGCCUGACGCAGCGACGCCGCGUGGGUGAUGAAGGCCUCGGUCGUAAG
Molecule: ribosomal RNA, 414 nt
Filed under: uncultured bacterium
Lineage: Bacteria
Description: bacterial SSU rRNA
Rfam family: Bacterial small subunit ribosomal RNA
Source: RNAcentral